This 330-nucleotide ribosomal RNA is filed under the name Escherichia coli. RNAcentral's name for it is "bacterial SSU rRNA". It matches the Rfam family "Bacterial small subunit ribosomal RNA", at positions 1 to 325 of the family's 1533-position model. Lineage: Bacteria; Pseudomonadati; Pseudomonadota; Gammaproteobacteria; Enterobacterales; Enterobacteriaceae. The record is from RNAcentral.
UUAAAUUGAAGAGUUUGAUCAUGGCUCAGAUUGAACGCUGGCGGCAGGCCUAACACAUGCAAGUCGAACGGUAACAGGAAGCAGCUUGCUGCUUCGCUGACGAGUGGCGGACGGGUGAGUAAUGUCUGGGAAACUGCCUGAUGGAGGGGGAUAACUACUGGAAACGGUAGCUAAUACCGCAUAACGUCGCAAGACCAAAGAGGGGGACCUUCGGGCCUCUUGCCAUCGGAUGUGCCCAGAUGGGAUUAGCUAGUAGGUGGGGUAACGGCUCACCUAGGCGACGAUCCCUAGCUGGUCUGAGAGGAUGACCAGCCACACUGGAACUGAGAC